RNAcentral lists this transfer RNA (73 nucleotides) under Felis catus (domestic cat). It matches the Rfam family "tRNA". From Rfam's summary of the family: Transfer RNA (tRNA) molecules are approximately 80 nucleotides in length. Their secondary structure includes four short double-helical elements and three loops (D, anti-codon, and T loops). RNAcentral also lists the same sequence under 1 other name. The record is from Rfam by way of RNAcentral. Lineage: Eukaryota; Metazoa; Chordata; Mammalia; Carnivora; Felidae.
GCCUGACUGGUUCAGUCGGAAGAGCGUGUGACUCUUGAUCUCGGGGUCAUGAGUUCGAGCCUCACAUCGGGCA